RNAcentral lists this ribosomal RNA (257 nucleotides) under uncultured Leptotrichia sp. RNAcentral's name for it is "partial 16S ribosomal RNA". It matches the Rfam family "Bacterial small subunit ribosomal RNA", at positions 97 to 354 of the family's 1533-position model. The record is from RNAcentral. Lineage: Bacteria; Fusobacteriati; Fusobacteriota; Fusobacteriia; Fusobacteriales; Leptotrichiaceae.
GGCGGACGGGUGAGUAACGCGUAAGAACUUGCCCUUUAGACUGGGAUAACAGAGGGAAACUUCUGAUAAUACUGGAUAAGUUAGUAUAUCGCAUGAUAUGCAAAUGAAAGCUACGGCACUAAAGGAGAGCUUUGCGCCCUAUUAGCUAGUUGGUAAGGUAAGAGCUUACCAAGGCGAUGAUAGGUAGCCGGCCUGAGAGGGUGGACGGCCACAAGGGGACUGAGAUACGGCCCUUACUCCUACGGGAGGCAGCAGGC